Molecule: non-coding RNA, 883 nt
Organism: Phoenix dactylifera (date palm)
Lineage: Eukaryota; Viridiplantae; Streptophyta; Magnoliopsida; Arecales; Arecaceae
Source: RefSeq, a predicted model, not a curated record
CUUACUAUGGAACAUCGUGAUCAUAUUAUUUGAGAGACUGGAGGCGGAGGCCAGUUGUAUUCCAAUAGCUGCGGCUUUUGGUGAUGCAGCUAAUGCUGGUACUCUAUCUCGCCCUUCCGGGUCCACGCUUAGUGGAAUGACGAUUUGAGGUGAUCUGAGCUCUGGGUCGGUGGGUCCAGUUAGAUGCUAGUUUUUUCCUUUCCCAGUUUAGCUCAUUAUUAAAGUGGAAAGCCAAUGACAUUGCCCCUGUCCGGGGAAGUAUGGAAAGCUAUGAUAUCAUAAAAAGCAUCAUAUGGAGGGCGCAUCAAGAAUCCGAAGCUUAAAAAAAUCGAGCAAUUAUAACAUGCUGGGACCACGGUCACAUGAAGAGUCGGUGAGUUGCAGCUAUAAAAAGCCUAUCAUCUAGUACAAGGGUUAUACAGUAACAAUAUAUGGACAAAGUUCCUUGGUCCGGUAAUCGAGGUUAAUUCAUCUUCCCGUCCUAAUAAUCACGACCCGUGAAAUGGGUCCGGCUGGUGCACAUGCCCUGUGGCUUGAAAUGGGCGCUGGAACUCUCUGCCGACCCGACCCAACCUAACCAGCCUGAAGGAAACCUAUCCUCCUACCCUAACCCUUAUGUACUGUAUCCUAGCAAGUAUAUGGCCUGCCGAAGCCAGUUUUCAGCCGCACCGCUAGCUAGCUGCACCCCAUUGACGAGAAGGUGAAAUGAUAGAGAUCAUACAGGUAAUGGGACCACCGCUUUUCUGGGAAAAAGGUCUCUUGGUUCAUGGCAGGUCACUUUGUCUAGCGGAAUGGAGGAGGAGGGGAUGGGCUUUUAUCUUCUAAACCCACUCCUUGAAAAGAUACCAUCAGUUAUGUACCCCCCCCCCCCCCCCCCCCCCCC